UACAGAGGUCUCAAGCGUUGUUCGGAUUCAUUGGGCGUAAAGGGUGCGUAGGUGGCGCGGUAAGUCGGGUGUGAAAUCUCGGAGCUUAACUCCGAAAUUGCAUUCGAUACUGCCGUGCUCGAGGACUGGAGAGGAGACUGGAAUUCAUGGUGUAGCAGUGAAAUGCGUAGAGAUCAUGAGGAAGACCAGUGGCGAAGGCGGGUCUCUGGGCCGUAACUGACGCUGAGGAGCGAAAGCGUGGGGAGCGAACAGG
RNAcentral lists this ribosomal RNA (253 nucleotides) under uncultured bacterium. Its description in RNAcentral is "partial 16S ribosomal RNA". It matches the Rfam family "Bacterial small subunit ribosomal RNA", at positions 524 to 776 of the family's 1533-position model. The record is from RNAcentral.